CAAAACUCUUAACUCUGAGCCAAGGUGAUUCUGAGAAUGAGUGGUCCUCACUUUAAGGCCUAUAUCAGUCUAACCUGACAAGUCCAAGACACCCACUGGGUGCUGGAAAGAGUGCAGAGAAGCUUUCCUAGUGGACUUCCCGGAGGCCAGGGGAGGGCCCCUCGCUCCUCCCAAGAGGGAUGAAACACCAGGAUAUGGGAAACUUUCCUGAUUCAGCCAGCCCUUGGAUGUCAAGGAGACAAACGCUGGACUGGAGCUCCGGCAUAAAAGGAGAUGUGCCAUUUUCAUAUGUUCCACACAUACUCAGAGAACCUGCUUGGAAUAUUUUUGCUGAUGAAAUUUUCUGGGUUGUAACAUUCAUCUCUUUGAAAAGCUUGCUUCCUAUAACCCCACGUGGAGGUUUGUGCUUUUACUUCUCUCUGCGAUGCCAUCUACACGUGGAUUUUUGUGUCAACUGCUUAUCUC
This 465-nucleotide long non-coding RNA is filed under the name Vulpes vulpes (red fox). Its description in RNAcentral is "lncRNA (ENSVVUG00000013442.1)". The record is from RNAcentral. Lineage: Eukaryota; Metazoa; Chordata; Mammalia; Carnivora; Canidae.